RNAcentral lists this unclassified non-coding RNA (218 nucleotides) under Hevea brasiliensis (rubber tree). The record is from RNAcentral. Lineage: Eukaryota; Viridiplantae; Streptophyta; Magnoliopsida; Malpighiales; Euphorbiaceae.
ACAAAAUUCAAGAAGUCAUAGGGAAAGGAAGCUAUGGUGUCGUUUGCUCAGCCAUUGACACGCACACUGGUGAAAAAGUCGCAAUUAAAAAAAUUCAUGACAUCUUUGAACAUAUAUCUGAUGCGGCACGGAUCCUCCGGGAGAUAAAGCUUUUGCGACUUCUGCGCCAUCCUGAUAUAGUUGAAAUCAAGCAUAUUAUGUUGCCACCUUCGAGGAGG